UCUACCUGCCCAAUGAUUAAUUUAAUGGCCGCAGUAAUUUGACUGUGCAAAGGUAGCAUAAUCAUUAGUUUUUUAAUUAAAAGCUUGUAUGAAUGGUUGGACGAGAUAAAGACUGUCUCUGAUUAAUUAAUAGAAUUUAAUUUUUAAGUUAAAAAGCUUAAAUAUAUAUAAAAGACGAGAAGACCCUAUAGAUCUUUAUAUAAUUUUUUUUUAAUUUUAUUAAUAAUGAUUAGAUAAUUUAUUAAAAACUAUUAUAUUUUAUUGGGGUAAUAAAAAGAUUAAAAUAAUUCUUUUUUAUUAAACAUAAAUUAAUGAUUAUAUGAUCCAUUUUUAUUGAUUAUAAGAUUAAGUUACCUUAGGGAUAACAGCGUAAUUUUUUUAGAGAGUUCUUAUCGAUAAAAAAGUUUGCGACCUCGAUGUUGGAUUAAAAAUUAUUUAGGCGUAGAAGUUAAAAUUUGGUC
RNAcentral lists this ribosomal RNA (461 nucleotides) under Hygrotus impressopunctatus. RNAcentral describes it as "partial 16S ribosomal RNA". The stretch from base 1 to 161 matches the Rfam family "Archaeal large subunit ribosomal RNA", at positions 1946 to 2143 of the family's 2987-position model. Lineage: Eukaryota; Metazoa; Arthropoda; Insecta; Coleoptera; Dytiscidae. The record is from RNAcentral.